UUACAUUAAUGUAGUUUUAGUGAAUUAUUAUUGAUAUGGUGUUCUAAAUUUAGCUUGUUUGACAUAUAACUGUAUUUGACUUUGGUAAAAUAUUAUAAACAUGUGCCUGUACAGAGUUAUCACAACAAAAUAGCAAUAGCUCCUGAAAUGAUUAUGUUAGUGUAUCCCUACUCGAGAAGGGUAUGAUUUUAUCCAAAUUAAUUGCACAGAGAAAUGCUAAUUUAAUUCUUUAUAGUACGUUUGCUUCAUAAGUUCCUUGCUCCAUUCCAGCUAGAAUGUAAAACAGAACUUAUGUAUUAUGGGUUAAGGUCUCCGUGCUAUAUCCGAUAGUUUCCCAUAAGAAGAAAAACAUGGAGGGAUAACUCUAUUGAUGCAUAUAGAAAGAUCAAUAAAAAGGAGUCAAAUUCAAAUCUUAUGUUGAAGGUCAUUCAAAUUUAUGUGUUAAAAUCAAGGUAAAAUUUUGUUUAACUCAUCUUGACUUUUAUUUCAUUGAUAGAUAUUCAUCUUGCCUUGUUACAUAACCGAAUCAGCUCACCGCCUAUAAUAUCAAAGAAAACCCCUUCAAAGAGUGCAUGAAACAGCUCCUCACAAUUGUUGACAUACUUUCUUUUCCUACCUUUAGAUAAUUUAGAUUUCUUUUGUACAUUGGGUUGCGGGGGUGGGGAUGUUUCCUGGAAUUUAGUUAGCUUCUAUGAAUUUGUAUGCACAAACAGAAAAACGGGCAUAGGGAUGCAAAUGAAUCGAUCUCAAGCCGAACUUGCCCAUGUUCAAGUUCUGAUCGCUUAGCAAACAAGCUUUAAAUUUUGUGUUCUAGUGUGGAUGGUUUUCCAAAUGAAAGCCCAAGUCAAGCUUGCACAAGCCCGAACCCAAUCUGUACUUGAGACAUACGCAAUUAAGUUCUGCUUAGUAACAUUUAUAAUCAUGUAAACAUAAAAGGUGAACAUGUUAGGUUUCAAGCUAUUCUCACUCCAUAAAUGUUGGUAGACCUGGCAAACAUGGCCCAAGCUCGCGGGCCGGGCUAUGGGCUGCAGUUUUUUAGCCCAAUAAAAUCUUGGUCUUUUUGGCCCGUCCCGGCCCGUGGCCCGCGACUUCUUUUCUUUUUAAAAUAAAAUGUUGCUACUUGUGGGUUGUGAGGCUUGAACACAAGACUUGUAAGUAAAUAAAUAAGAGUUCAAACCAACUGAGCUACAACUAUUUGUUUUUAAUGCAAUCUUCAAUAUAUUUUUUCUUUACUUUUAUUCAAAUUUUACUAUUCUUAAAAAGUAAAACCUAAAUUGUGCCUAAUUUAUAAUAUUAUCAUCAAUACAACUACGUCAUUAUCAUCAAUAAUUUAUAAUAUUAUCAUCAAUACAACUACUACAACUUAAUGAGUGCACCCAAAAUGUUCG
Molecule: long non-coding RNA, 1388 nt
Filed under: Panax ginseng (ginseng)
Lineage: Eukaryota; Viridiplantae; Streptophyta; Magnoliopsida; Apiales; Araliaceae
Description: long non-coding RNA (PGIN_LNC008909)
Source: RNAcentral